GGGGGCGACCGGUUUCGACGGGAUAAGAUCGUUGUUAAACUGCAUGCGGAGAUCCCGGAAUUCUCCUAAAUCAUCCGGACAUUCAUACAUGCCGAUUACGGCUACAUGGCUGCAGCUUAAGACUGUGGCUCGUCCUUUAUCCGAUUUGUCUGUGGUUAGGUAAAAGGGCGUCGAUCACACAGACUGGUUAUUGUUUUUGCCCUAAAACAAUAGUGAGACUUUAAGGGCUGGUUCCGCUGACUGUCAGUCCCUGGCCAUAUGCGGAAUAAGAUCUUGCCAGGAGACUAAGCAUGUAGGUGUUUUUCAAGGGUUUAUUUCGGACGGGAGUUCGAAUCUCCCCGCCUCCACUU
RNAcentral lists this transfer-messenger RNA (350 nucleotides) under Fidelibacterota bacterium. It matches the Rfam family "transfer-messenger RNA". From Rfam's summary of the family: Bacterial tmRNA, also known as 10Sa RNA or SsrA, is named for its dual tRNA and mRNA-like properties. Its role is to liberate the mRNA from a stalled ribosome. Lineage: Bacteria; Pseudomonadati; Fidelibacterota. The record is from RNAcentral.